Long non-coding RNA from Mus musculus (house mouse), 3303 nucleotides. RefSeq annotates it as predicted gene, 40305. The record is from RefSeq and is a predicted model, not a curated record. The transcript has 3 exons. Lineage: Eukaryota; Metazoa; Chordata; Mammalia; Rodentia; Muridae.
GGAGAAAACAAGCUGGCCAAAUAUUUCUAACAAAUUACACUAGAGUCAACAAUAGUAAACGACUCACUAAACUGUGCAUAACUGUGUUAUGUCUUUAAAACAUAACACAGUCCCUGUGAACUAGAGGAGCCUCUACGUCAGAAUUGUGUGGACGGAGUAAUCCAGCUGCAGCCAUAGAUAGAUAGCACACCAUCUGUGACACUUAUCAGUUAAAAAUGUUAACCAUCGCUCCCAUGAUAAUGGCCAACCCACUCUCUCGACUUCUGUCUUCUGAAGGAAACACUAACACAAUCAUACUACAAUGAUACAAUACAGAGAGAUAGAGAGACAGAGAAACAGAGACAGAGGCAGAGACAGAGAGAUACAGAAACUAUGGCCAGCACCAGAGAGAGAAUGUGCCUACACUAUGGCGGGGGUGUAGUGGAGACAAGCUUUCCCACGCCAGACUUGGAGUGUGCAUGUGCACACGUGACUCCUGGUACCACUGCCAGACUGUGGGACUAGGCACAGACUUGGGUCCAGACAGCGCAUGCUCUACUCACUUCCUCUGUCUGUACCUCACAGCACCUGGGUCUGGAAGUGGGGCGGGGGGAAGAGGGAGGGUUCUAAAGAUGACACUUAGGAUGUUGCCAGCCUUGAUUUGGGUUUGAGUUCUAGGCACCGGGAACUCUCAUUGUUAUACAACCAGGCAGCCGGCAGGAUGGAAAGAAAAACGAAUUAUGUCUGCUUAGGAAGCCGGAGCAGUACAUUUCCUGUGAUUGAAAUCUCAAGGGUAACUUUUGGUGUUUAUGUGGCAGGGCCUUUUGACAGCAGUCUUAAAAGUUUUUAAAGUUAAACUGGGCUUCAUUUGAGUCCAGGAGGACAUUGGCUCAGGACUCUGGCAAGGGACUUACCACCUCUUGAUAACUCUUGAAUGGACUUACCUAGGCCUGGUUGACCAAUGGCAUUGCCUCCUGGACCCUAGGAACACGACUAUCCAUGUAACUUAACAUCAUUUAUACCCAAAGAGUGGGUAUUCAGUUGUCAUUCAGUUUUAAGUGUUCUAUCUCCGCAAAGCAUGGGAACAGCCAAGCUUGGCAGGUGAUGCCUGUUUGAGGCUCCCUGCAUAGCUCAAGGGCAAGACCUACUCCAGAAGCACCACACUGGGGCGACAGAGCAGAGCCUCAAACUCUGAGGGACACAGGACUUGGGAAGAUGGCAAAUGCUGUCUUGCGGCAUAUGAGUAUGGGAGCAGGACACAGGGAUGAGUGAAUUGCCUUCUGAGUUGGGUGGGCAGAUGGGUAGAGAGGUUAUAAGUUGUACAUGAGUACAAGAUAAUGUACUUUGAGUCUAGAUAAGAUUUGCUAGUCUUUUAUUUCUUAGUGAGGUGACAUCAGAAGAUUUAUAUACUGCUCCAAAACCAACCAGUCCAACUCUAAAACAGGUAUGACAUUACUUGCCUGGCAUGUUUGUUGCCGGAAUCGCCCCCGAGGCCUGUAGAGUACCAGGCAGGUGGUAAGCCCUCAGCAAAGAGAACAGCUUUUUGUGUGUAUAAGUGGUGUCUAGAAAAUCCUACAGGUAUUCCUGGGAUGCGAGCCAGGCUCAAGAAAGGAGCAGACUGAGUUGGAAGAGGAGGAAGGAACAGGGUGGUUUCUGAUGCAGGAGAACCAGCGCCUAGAGCGUUGGAGGCUUGUGAGUUACUUGGGGCUGCUACAGAGUCAUGGGGCUCGAUGGGCGAAUCAGAGCCUGAACAGUAACCAUGCCAAGGAGUUUCCCUGGAUCUCAGCAGAGAUUUCUGGAAGGUUCAGAGGGAACUAGGAAGGCUCCCAGGGCCCCGUUCUUCUGCAGGCAACACCCUUUCUUCUGAGUUUGCCAACAUCCGGACUUCCUCUGAACUGAACUGGGAAGUUCUGUUGUUAACUAUUUAUAGUUCUUUACCUUUUAUAAGUAACCCCGACUUCCUGUGUCCACAACAGCUGCAGGAUCCCGGCCGGCCGUGAGCUCUCUUCCAUCCCCAGGGAGCAGCUAUAAGGCUGCCACAGACAGAAGCUCUCAGAUGACAGGAAAUCUGGAUGUAGAACUCUCAGCUACCCCUCCAGCUCCAUGUCUCUCUGCCGUAAUGAUACUGGACUAAACCUUUGAACUGAGUUGAUGAAUCUGCGCUCAAGCCCUUGAAGUGCACUGGGCUGGGUUCAAGAGACAUGCCUUUAAAGACUGGCUGCCUUUGGAGAGUCACUUCGUGUUCUAGUCCAUAGUUGUCCUAUCUGGAAGAAGAGGCCAGUCUUGCCUUUUUCAGAGCAUGCUGCAAUGACGAAGCCGAUGGGUAUAUGUGAAAAUGCCCUAGAAACUAUAAAGGAAUGCGAAAGCUCUAAAGGAAAGCCCACUCUGCAGUUAUCCCAGAUAGCCUACUCUGACUCUAAAGGGGAAUAAGCAUUGUUUAAAGCCAAGUGUACUGACACUCUGUGCUGAAACCCAAGUGGUCAACAAGAUGACUGGGAUGCCCAGCUGGGCUUCAGGAGGGCUUCACUGCUUUGUGCUUGCCCAUUUGGAGAUGCUGUGGUCCUUGGAUGCCUGUGUUAGUUUCCCUCGCCCUCUUGGGUGUGUCUGAGACAGCAGCUUUGCUGCUUUGGCUUUCGAAUCCCUCACAGCGUGUUAGCAUCUGGCCUUGCUUCCCUUCCACACUCUGGGCUGUGUUUAGACUGCACUGUCUGCUUUCAAGUCACGGGCUUCCCAACGCCCAGACAUUUCACAGUCCCCUCUACUUGAAUCACGUAAGUCUGGCCCUCGGGUCCAAGCAGUGCAUGGGUGUGUCUCACACAAGAGAACAAUCAACAAGAUUAAGUUACUUUUGAGUUCCUAAUUGAUUUUCCAGAACUCCCUCUUCCUAUCACAAAAUACAGCUUUCUGAGCAGUGUGGUCUAAUGCUGCAAGGUGUGGAGGUGGAUGAGAUUUAGGAAAGCAGAUACAUUCUGGAAAUAAAAGGGCUUUCACAUGUAAAUGAAUAAUUGACAUGCUUCGCCUCCCAAUAACAUUUAUUGUUUGCAGUCACCAAACCCAAUGCCAAGACAGAUUUUUGUGUUUUAGGCUACAAAAUUUGGAGAGUUGCUCAAAUUCUUUUCAUCCCUGGAGUUUUGUUUAUAUUGAAUGUGAUGUAUUGAAAGAAUUUUUUUUACCAUGUUUUGGCAUUAUUUUGAAAUACAAAUUAGAUAAGGCUAAUUGUAAUAAUUGUUUUUAGUUAUUAUGACUCGGUAUAGUUUCCUUGAUUCUUGUUAAUGUGUAGUUAUACCUUUUAUUUAAAAAAAAAUCUAUCUCUUUCCUUGCUUA